AGUGUUGGCCCAUACAGGGAUGCUAGGGAGGUCUUGCUGCCUCUCCUUCCACUGGCUAGCUGGCUGCUUCCAGAAUAGCCACCACUGAUACCUGCCCCAGCCCCAGCUCUUCUGGGCUGAGGGAGCUCCAUUUAGUCUGAUUUAUGUCUUUCCAAGAGCCAUGGUCUCAGGGCCAUAAGGAAAGAGAUCCUUACCAUAGACUUGUGGUCUCAAAGGCAUGCAUUUAGGAAACAUGGGCUUGCCAGUGACACUGUCCACCUUGACCCCAGGUACUGCUGUGGGCUGCAGAGAUCAGGGAGGGUACUGGACUCUCCCUCUGCCACCCAAACUCCCAGCCUUCUUGUCUCAGAUCCAGGGCCAACCCACCAUAAUCCCUGGCCUGAGCUCCAAGCCCUGGGGAGGGAAGGAAGUGGCUGACCCCACGGCCAGCAUUCCUCUGUGAUGACUACAGUCCGCCUUCUGCCCAGCCAUCCCAGCUGGAAGGCAGUUCUCAGGGAACUACAAGGGAAGCCCCUCCCACAAAAGCCAAGGCAUCUUCUGCAGAGUGGGGCUUCCUUCAACUGGGGACAUGGCAGGACCUGAGUGGGCUAGGGGUCCUGUGGGGGAGCAGGUCAGAAGGCAUAUGGACCUCACAGAUGCCUCGAACUCACCCUACUCCUUUUCUCACUUAGUAAACAGUCACAAGCCCCCCGUGGAGGUUGGUGGGUUCUAGAUCCAGGAGACUAGACCAGACAGUCAGGGCUCACUCUCAAGGGCUCCAAGUCAUGUUCGGGGAAAUCCUCCAACAAAUAAGCAAAAGAGGACACUACGGAUAUGAUCUCAGUAAGGAGACCUCAUCGUAUAAGGACAAUAAGAUGGGAUGUGACAGUGAGGGGACAGCUGGGGACCUCAGUCAUUUGAGGGGAUAUCCCAAUUCCUCAGAUCCCACCUGCCUGCGCACAGUCCCCUCUUUCCCCGCGUGCACACCCUCAAACCCCUUAGCUUGUAGAACUCCUCCCUCAUUCCCUAAAGGCCACC
Molecule: long non-coding RNA, 1017 nt
Filed under: Homo sapiens (human)
Lineage: Eukaryota; Metazoa; Chordata; Mammalia; Primates; Hominidae
Description: non-protein coding lnc-IRF1-6:1
Source: RNAcentral